This 2675-nucleotide long non-coding RNA is filed under the name Piliocolobus tephrosceles (Ugandan red Colobus). RNAcentral describes it as "lncRNA (ENSPTEG00000002587.1)". Lineage: Eukaryota; Metazoa; Chordata; Mammalia; Primates; Cercopithecidae. The record is from RNAcentral.
AUUUAUAUUCAAUUUUGUCGGUUAUAGGCUUGGAACAAAAUUAGAAAGUCUUAUAAUCAUUAAUUUCGUAAAUGAAGGUAAUGAAACGAACCAAAAUAGAGUAAAACAAAUAAGAAUGUCAAUAACCUGUUAGGUUGAUAUUAAAUGUAAACAAUAUAUAAAGCACAUGUAAUUAUUAAGAAAAAGAAAUAGUCAGAUACAAAAUUUGAACAAUAAAAAAAAGUUACAAAUUGGACAAAAAAAAAAGUUACAAAUUGGACAAAAAAAAAAAUAACUAGUGAAGCAAAAAACAAAAAAAAAAAUGAUAAAACGAUGCGUGAUUAAAAAAAAUUAUAAAUAUGAUCAUGAAAAAAGCAAGCAAAGUUAUAAUUAUAUUAAUUUAGGAAUGAUUUGUAAAAGUAAAUUGGUCAAUAAUGAUAGUUAUAUGAAUAAUAUUUUUAGUAAUAUAAUAUUAAACAAUAAAAGUGAGGCAAAACAAAAAAAAUUUUACUGUAGUAAAACAAAAACUGAAAAAAAUCAAGAUAUCAAAACGCGUGACAAAACAUGUGACAAAACGCGUGACAAAACGCGUGACAAAACGCGUGACAAAACAAAUAAAUGUGAAGCUUUCAGCUUACACGAAUCAAACAAUAUAGAUAGUUUAUUUGAUUUAACAAAAAGAAAAAAUGUGAAAAAAGAUAAAUGUCAUGAUAAAGUUAAAAAACAACUUUUUUUUCGUUUUUCUUUUACCGAAUUAAAACAUAAAAAUGCAUUUUCUCAUUUAAAUAAUAGAUUUAUUAAUUUCAUAACCCCAAAUGAAAUAAAAAAAUUAAUGUUUGUAAAUUUUGCGCAGACUGUCGUAACUAGUAGUACUACUAACAAUGCAGUAACAAGUAACAAAAAAAAAAGUAUUAAUUUUGCCAGACUGAACCUUAAAGAGUUGUUAGUUUUUAUGAUAAACAACUUAACUAAUAUAGACGACAUGAGAACAUGGAAUAAUGUUUUUAUUCAAAUUGAUAAAUUAAUAUUAAAUAGGGGGGAAAAUAAAGAAAUUACAAAAGAAAUAAAUGAUUUUUUUGAAAAAUUAACAAAUAUAGAAUACUUUUUGUUAUUAACUAUUCUUAAAAAUGUAGAUACAAACAUCAAAAAUAGUAUUUUGAAUAACUUAUUUUUUGAGUGUUUAGUUGUUAAUUUGAAAAAAAGAGACAUAACAUAUAUUUAUAAGAAUGUAAAAACAGAAAAUACCAUAGAAGAAAAUGAUUCAGUUGGUAUACAACAUGCAAACAGGGAACUUAAAGAUCCAUUAUAUAUAGAAAAUAAAAAGCAGCUUGACUCGAUUUUUUUGGAAAAGGUGCUUAAGUUGGGAGGUGGUGAAACAAGAAUAGAGAAAGUGUGUAAGGAAAAUCAUUCUAUUACUACCAGUACAAACAUAAAAAAUGUAAAAUUGAUAGAAAGGUACUUAUAUGAAUCAAGUUUUUUUUCGAAUAAAUUUGAAAAUGUAUUACUAUUAAAAGAUUAUUUAAAUAAGAUAUUUCGGCAAAACAUUAACGAAUUAAUAGAUCUAAAUUUUUUUACCAAAACUAUUAAUUCACUAAAAAGUCAAAUAAAUAGUAAGAGUGUACAUGCUAUAAUAUAUACAUAUGAAAACAAGUUAGACAUGAUGAAGCCGUAUGAUUUGAGUUUUAGUUUUAUAGUUUUAUCAGAUUUAUUAAUAUCAAGUCAUAAUUUAUUUAAUAAUAUAAUAAAUUAUAUUAUUCAAAACCCGUUUAAUAAGUUUCAAAAAGUUGGUUAUUUUGUUCGUUUUGUAAAAAGUGUUGAAAAUUUUGAAUUAGGUUUGGCUAAUGCAAACAAGGGGGAUAAUAGUGAAAAAAGCAUACGACCUAAUGACGUUAGUAAUCAUGGUAAUAAUGUUGGGUUUUGUAAACAGACUAGGCGUGGACUCGAGUCCGGGCCAGAGCCAGAGCCAGAGUCUAAGUCCAAGCCCGAGGCAGAGGCAGAGCCAGAGCUAGAGCUAGAGCCAGAGUCAGAGUCAGAGUCCAAGUCCAAGUCCAAGUCUAUUGGUGCCAACCAAACUGUAUAUGAUCACCUAGUUAAGCAACAUAUCAAUUGCUAUAAAAAUAAAAACGAGAAUAAUACUAAAAAUUUUCAAAAUAACAUGCAUAACUUGUAUAAUUUUACAAUAACAAUAUUAAUUGAUAAGCUCAGUUCCAAUUUAAAAUUUUACGAUUUAAAUAAUUUAUUGUUCAUAUUCGAAUGUAUGGGAAAAAUAUUAUUUCUUUCGAAUAUACAAAACCAGAGGUUAUAUAUGUUUAUAAAUGAGUUGAGAUAUUAUGUGAAUGCUUCAGUUAAUUUAUUAACAGUCGAUAAUAAUACUUUGAUACGUCUUUUUAAAGUUUGUUCUGUGUUUUCUUUUGUGCCACCGUUGGAUCGUGCAAUGGGUACUGUAGUUACUACCACCACCUCCGCAGCGUUAACAGACACAAACUUGGAAAAUAGUUAUGAAUACCAAAAACCACUUCCUUUGUAUGACUUUUAUCAAGUAAAAAACAACAUUUUUGAAAUUAAUAAUUACGCUGUUAAUUUAACUAAUAAUAUAAAAAAAAAAAAAAAAAUUUAACCAAGAGGAUGUUUUGUUAAAAAAUAUUAUUCUUCGUUUAUGUUAUAACUUGAAUAAAAAUUUAGAAGAUAUAACUACA